CUCCCCACCCCUCCCCCUCUGCCCUCCCCACCCCCUCGACUUCCCCCUUUUGUUAAUUAAAACUAAGAAGUAAGAAUGGCAACGACGUGGCCGGCUCCUGUGGAGAACGCUUAAGGACACCACGCCAAUUCUUUCCUUCCGAGAUGGAAAGAGCUCCUAGCUCAUUUAAGCCGGGGUAGGGCUGGUUCUCCUUUCCGAGCCAAAAUCCCAGGCGAUGGUGAAUUAUGAACGUGCCACACCAUGAAGCUCUUGUGGCAGGUAACUGUGCACCACACCUGGAAUGCCGUCCUGCUCCCCGUCGUCUACCUCACGGCGCAAGUGUGGAUUCUGUGUGCAGCCAUCGCCGCUGCCGCCUCCGCCGGGCCCCAGAACUGCCCAUCCGUUUGCUCCUGCAGUAACCAGUUCAGCAAGGUGGUGUGCACCCGCCGGGGCCUCUCCGAGGUCCCUCAGGGGAUCCCCUCCAACACCCGGUACCUCAACCUCAUGGAAAACAAUAUCCAGAUGAUCCAGGCCGACACCUUCCGCCACCUCCACCACCUGGAGGUCCUGCAGCUGGGCAGGAACUCCAUCCGGCAGAUCGAGGUGGGGGCCUUCAACGGCCUGGCCAGCCUCAACACCCUGGAGCUGUUCGACAACUGGCUGACAGUCAUCCCCAGCGGGGCUUUUGAGUACCUGUCCAAGCUGCGAGAGCUCUGGCUUCGCAACAACCCCAUAGAAAGCAUCCCCUCUUAUGCCUUCAACCGGGUGCCCUCCCUCAUGCGCCUGGACUUGGGGGAGCUCAAGAAGCUGGAGUAUAUCUCUGAGGGCGCUUUUGAGGGACUGUUCAACCUCAAGUACCUGAACUUGGGCAUGUGCAACAUUAAAGAUAUGCCCAAUCUCACCCCUCUGGUGGGGCUGGAGGAACUGGAGAUGUCAGGGAACCACUUCCCGGAAAUCAGGCCUGGCUCCUUCCACGGCCUAAGCUCCCUCAAGAAGCUGUGGGUCAUGAACUCACAGGUCAGCCUGAUUGAGCGAAAUGCUUUUGAUGGGCUGGCCUCGCUUGUGGAACUCAACUUGGCCCACAAUAACCUCUCUUCUUUGCCCCAUGACCUCUUCACCCCACUGAGGUACCUGGUGGAGUUGCACCUACACCACAAUCCUUGGAACUGCGAUUGUGACAUUCUGUGGCUAGCCUGGUGGCUUCGGGAGUACAUACCCACCAAUUCUACCUGCUGUGGCCGCUGCCAUGCUCCCCUGCACAUGCGUGGCCGCUACCUGGUGGAGGUGGACCAGGCCUCCUUCCAGUGCUCUGCCCCCUUCAUCAUGGAUGCACCUCGGGACCUCAAUAUCUCUGAGGGUCGGAUGGCAGAACUUAAGUGUCGGACUCCCCCUAUGUCCUCUGUGAAGUGGCUGCUGCCCAAUGGGACAGUGCUCAGCCACGCCUCCCGCCACCCAAGGAUCUCUGUCCUCAACGACGGCACCUUGAACUUUUCCCAUGUGCUGCUCUCAGACACUGGGGUAUACACAUGCAUGGUGACCAAUGUGGCAGGUAACUCCAAUGCCUCGGCCUACCUCAACGUGAGCACGGCCGAGCUCAACACCUCCAACUACAGCUUCUUCACCACUGUCACAGUGGAGACCACCGAGAUCUCACCUGAGGAUACAACGCGCAAGUACAAGCCUGUUCCUACUACGUCCACUGGUUAUCAGCCGGCAUAUACCACCUCUACCACGGUGCUCAUUCAGACCACCCGUGUGCCCAAGCAGGUACCCGCAACCGACACCAAUGAUAAGAUGCAGACCAGCCUGGAUGAAGUCAUGAAGACCACCAAGAUCAUCAUUGGCUGCUUUGUGGCAGUGACUCUGCUAGCUGCCGCCAUGUUGAUUGUCUUCUACAAACUUCGUAAGCGGCACCAGCAGAGGAGUACAGUCACAGCCGCCCGGACAGUUGAGAUUAUCCAGGUGGAUGAAGACAUCCCAGCGGCGGCGUCUGCAGCAGCAACAGCAGCUCCAUCCGGUGUAUCAGGAAACAUGACUGUGAUGGCAGUGCUCUUCUGGAAGCCUGGCUCUGUACUUGGGCUGACACAAAGGACUGCAAGCUCCCUGACGGCAACAAGCAGCUCUGGGGAACCGCAAGUCCCACUGGUCACCAUUAAGUGCCCACUCAGAACCCUCACCAAAGCUCAAGAAGCAGUGAACAUUCAGGAUGACUGAAGAGGGAUCAGAAAACAGGGCAAGAAAUAUGCUGUCCACUAAGAGAGGAAAGCAAAGAAGUGUCAGCAAUCUAAAGCCAGGAGGACAGCUGUUGCUGCUGAAGAGGAGGUGAAGGAAGACACGCACUGUCAGCAGGAGGUGCUCCGCUUGGCCUGCCUUCCCCAAGAGCCCGGCGGUAAGUCAACCCAGUCCCCGUUGCACCUUUAUUCAAACAAAGACUGCACUACUGGGCUGGUGUCCCUGGUGUGCUGCUUUGUUACCAAUACAAAGAAAAGAGGAGAGAGGAGAGAGAAGAGAGAAGAGAAGAGAAGAGAAGAGAAGAAAAAAGAAAAGAAAAAAGAGGGAAAGAAUUAGAGAAAACAGAUCAAGGGGAAGAAAGUUGGGCUCUCAGAAAGCAAACGCCAGGCCGCAGCUCAGUACAGGCUGGCAUGCAGCAGUGGGGAGCUCCCAAGACUGUAAAUAUGAAGUGAGAGAUCACUGGAGUUCCAGAAGCUCUCCCUAGCCAGCAGUGUGCAAAACAUAAGCCCAUCAGGAGCCUGAGGAAGGAGGCGGUAAGCAGAGGGGACCAACUGGCGUCCACACUGGAGCACUGCCACCGGAGUCCUACUGUGGAGGGCCUAGGGCCACUGCAGAGCCAGUCAGCCUCCGGGUGCCAAGAGUUGAGACACUGGACCUUACCUCGGAUUGGUUAGAUUUUUCAGGGAUGUUCCCAGAAAUCUGCUCUCUCCCCUUACUGCUGCCAUGAGCAAAGCUACAUGACAACCUGGUAUUUGCAACCCAAAUAAAACUAAAACUAAACUGGUUCUUAGGCUGGGUCCUGUGGUAUUCAGAUUUUAUUCUUUCUAACAUCCAAUACACUGUCUAGCACACAGUGGCACUGUAGAGCCUUAAGAAAUGCUGAAUAAGUGAGUAUUGGUGAAAAUACUUCUGAAAAGAAGUAAAUACAUAGAAAAGGAAAUGGCUAAUGAACUGUCAGGGUUAAUGUAGAUGUUAUGCAAACACCAGGAGAGGGGCUGAAAGAAUCCCUGACUCCGUACAUCCCAUUUUCCAAUGGUUACAUAACACUUCGAGGAAAAACCGGCAAGCACAGCUACACCCAUUUACCCCACCGGUCUUCAGCUCAGCACACUUGGGAGUGCAGCUGACAUACAGAGAGGGAGAGGUCAGUGCUGCCCAGCAGUACCCGCCAGGCCUGAGGACGGAGCACGGCAGAGAUGCUCAGUUUCCAUACAACAAAGGAGGGAAACCAUCCCCACUUAGGACCCUGUGUUCUGCUAUAGGAAGCUGUGUGGCCACAUGGAAAUGCAGAAAACUGGAGCACAUUUCAAGGGAGCAGUGGAAAAUGACUCAGGGGCGGGGAGGCCUGCCUUUAAAGAAAGAUAAAAGGUGCUAAAUCUGUACAGUUCGGCUAAGCGGUGACUAAGACGGUGACAAGAUAACAAUCUGCAAAUAUUUGAAAGGUGUAAACAUGAGAAAGGAGGGAAAAUGCUUAGCUGGAGAACAGGGGGUGUAAUUAUCAGGGGAAAGAAAAAUCUGGACAAAAUAUCAGAAAAACUAAGUGUGGGGAUGACUCCUGGGUUAUAAAUAAGUUCCCAAUUAAAAUGAAAAUGCUGUUUUUGAAUCCUAAAACUGAAACGUGGCCACUGAGCCCAUUCCUCUGCUUAGGAGAAAGUAGCCCAGACCAAGGAGCUGUUAUUUUAUCUUCUACAUUUUGGGAAAGAUUUCUUUUUUUUUUUUUUUAAAGAUUUUAUUUAUUUAUUCAACAGAGAUAGAGACAGCCAGUGAGAGGGAACACAAGCAGGGGGAGUGGGAGAGGAAGAAGCAGGCUCAUAGCAGAGGAGCCUGAUGUGGGGCUCGAUCCCGUAACGCUGGGAUCACGCCCUGAGCUGAAGGCAGACGCUUAACCGCUGUGCCACCCAGGCGCCCCUUGGGAAAGAUUUCUUGAAUAAUAUUCAAAUUUAAGUAUCUCUGCUUUAAACGCUACUCUCUGAAAUUUUAACACAUUUUUUUUGUUGAUCGAACCAGACAAAAUGGCUGUCCUGGUGGGACUUUCAGAACAAACGCUGGCUUUAUCUGCUAGUAUGUGCCACAUCCCAUGGCUGACAGCUAAAGUGGGGCUGUGUACACAGCCGGGUGACAGACAGCUGGGAAAGGGAUGGGAGACUACACCAUCUCAUCUAGCAGGACAGCUUCGUCCUUUGCCUUUAAGACCCUAGGUAAGAAUGCUGUAAAAGUUUCCCAGAUGGAAACCGUAGGCACCUCUCCUUUCUUUUUAAAUACACAGUCCCCUGGAGUAAACGUCAAGGACAAGGCAAGGCACAAAAAGAACACCAAAAUAAGCUUCCUGUCACACUGACUGCACUCCAAUACCUUUGCCUGAGUUCCUGCUGCUGCAGCUAGCCAAUUUAUAAUUCACAGACUCUCAGCAGAGAUUUUUACCCCCAGAUUCAAUUAGUUCCAUUUCUAUACUUUCCCUUACCAUCCUCCCCCCACCACCAAAAAACAAAACACAAAUUUUAAAACUCCACUAUGUAUAGAGAAUAAGACAUUUAAACUCUGUAUGCAGCCUAAGCGAAGUAACACUUAACUAUGUCCAAGUCAAUUUCAAAAAUUCUUUGGUGUUAACAAUGUUUAGACAGCUAUUUCUUCCCUAAGCAUCAAGAACAAAAUCCAGAACUCUUAAGCCAAUGGCACAAAAUGCAGAGGCAGACAGGCCAUCUGCCUAGUUUUAAGGAAUGUAGUUACCACCUGAAUAUACACAUAAAACCAAAAUAACAAACCACACUGUUAGUUCUCAGAAACGUAACAUAUCUCAUGCAUCAGAAGCUUGCUCUGAGUUCUCUGUCAUAAGCUUUAAAUCAGAAUUAAUUUGGAGAUCUCAAAUUGCAAAUGCUGUCAGUGAAUCUGUUAACAAUUGAGAACGGCAAACCAUCCCAUUAGGGCCAGCUGGUCCUACAUUUCCUAAAAUGGCCCAAAGAGCAAGGCAAACGGUGGACCAGUUUGUUCCUAAGAGUUAGUUCUACAUGAUACGAGGCCUCGACUUGUAUUAAAAGGGUCAGAAAUGAAACAAGGAUUCUGCAUGGUCUCAAAUUCUUUUUUUUCUCCCUUGUUCUCUGAACUGCUAUGUUGUUACCUCAGGGGAGGCAGCAUCUUGUGGGCCAAUUUUGGAACGUGUCAGUGCUAAAGCUCUUUCAGGGAUCAGAAUAAAGGGAUAAAAGAAGAAUGAAGGGAUCCUAAUUAAAGGGAUCUGACUCCUCAGGUAAUUGUAGUCAGGGCAUCAGAACUGAGUAAGAGCAGAGACUGAAGCGGUUUUUAGUUCAUAAUUCCAAUGGUUAAGGGUUGACUUUUAUUGGGUUGUUCUGAUUUGGUAAUGUCUGAUGCAUUUGUUGAAAGACCAGAAGCUGAAGUUAAUUGGGAGAAGAAGCAAUAUGACCCAGUGUUCAUCAUGCGAUGGGAACUGCGGCUUCCUUUGAAGACAGGAAGGGGGUAAAGGGGAGGCAUCUACAGAAAGGAGGUACAGUAGUCCCCCCACCAUCCAUGGUUCCACUCUAUGCGAUUUCAGUUACCCAUGGUCCAGUGCAGUCCAGAAGCAGAUGAUCCCAUUUCUGACGUACUGUCAGAGGGUCAAUUGUAGCCUGUGCUAUGUCACAGUGCCUGCGUCAUUCCCCCUACUGCACUUCAUCUUAUCAUGUAGGCAUUUUAUCAUCUUACAUCAUCACAAGAAACGUCAGUACAGCACAAUAAGACAUUCACAUAACUUUUAUUACAGUAUUUUGUUGUAAUUGUUCAACUGUAUUACUGUUGCAAAUCUCCUACGGUGCCUAAUUUACAAACUAAACUUUAUCAUCGGUAUACAUGUAUAGGAAAAACAGUAUAUAUAGGGUUGGGUUCCAUCGUGGUUUUCAGGCAUCCACUGGGGGUCUUGGAACGACUCCUCCAUGGAUAAGGAGGGACUGCUCUACAGUGCUUGGCUUUAAACAAGUCUUCAGUUUCUAUGAUAUAAGUCAUGGGCGUUAUACCACUAGGACAGUGCUGCCUUUUCACGCCGAAUCUCUAGCUGCUGUUAGUCUGUUAAUGGUGGAUCCCACUCUGCGAUUAUUUGAGGUAAAGUAAAUGCCAGUUCUCUGUGUAUCCCCAGUAUUUGGAACACAGCUGAUACUCAACAACUGUUUUUGCUAAAUGAAGGCCAGAGAUGUCAAACCUAGCAGAAAUAGAUGCAACAAACCUGUUAUAACAACGUCCUAUUCAGAACACUUGUUGAGUUCAUAAGGAAAUCUAGUAACUCAUUUCCAGGACUCUACGGCGAGUGGGUGUUAAAUGCUAAACCACUGCCCACUUCUAAGGAGGAGAGGAAGACGGGAUGGCUUCGAGGCCUUCUGCUGGAUUUCUGCCUCUCGGGCCAGCCAGGCAGUGUGCAGAAUUGGCUGCACCAAACUUGAUUUAUCAUUGGCUUUAGACAUCAAAGAAUCAUUCCCAAAAGGAAAAAAGAAUUUCAGAUGGAGCUGGUGCAGCAGAUAACAAUUGGGCCAGCAUCAGAAUAACCUUUUGUAAUUCUUCCCAUUGCACAGCAGCAUCUGAAAACAAUGAUUUUUAAAGGGAGGAAAAACUCUCACUGAUUAACAAGACCGUUCCCUCCCUGUGGCAUCCUAAGAGCGUGGCCAUACACAAUCCGGCCAGGCUGUCUCUGGGGCUGUUUGGGAAGGGGGCUGUGUUGGAGAUGGCAGGCUGUCUGCAUCCCAACACACAUAUUUGUUUUGGGUUUGCUAUAAGCGGCAGCUGCAGUACCGCCACCAGCCAGGAGAAGAAUGAAACGAGCGGGUGUCGGAAAGAACUGUGCCGACUCCCAAUUGUCCCCUUGAGUUUGUCUUCAGUGCCCAGAUCAAAACAACCUCAUAUGCACGUUACAUAGAAAACAAAGCACUGGAGGUCACGAGCAAGGGUCAUGAUGGUCUUUCCAAUGACAAGAAAUCAACAGGGCUCAAGCUUUUAUGUAACACUGUGGCACCAUGGAGACAGCACCCAACAAGCACAAACCCCAUGUCUGAGCAACGAGGAGGAGUUGGUUUCUAUGAGAACCUCAACUUUCGCUUUUUCUGACUUAUUUUAAACAUGUAACUUUAUCUUUGAAUCAACUAAAACUUAGAUGUAUUUUUUUUUCCCUUUCAUUUUUGGCACUAAAGAAUUCUAAUCUUGGUCUUUUAAAUUCCAUGUUAAUAGAGAAAGAUGAGAAUAUGAAUAUACUGUCCAGGCUGAUAGAGAAUAGCCACUGGGUCGGGAGAAAGCCAUAGGAAAUACCCACAUGGAUCUUGCAAGUACAAGCUUCCAGAAGGUAUUCUGACACACACCUGGCAGCCAAAUGUAAAAGCUACUUACUUGAAUAAAUUUAGAGUGACUUUCUAAACCAAGCUGUGUUGUGUAAUUUGAACAAAAUGCUUCUGAGAUGUGUGGAGUAUACUUCCAAUCUAUUGCCCUUCUUAAGCCUUCACUCAUAGAAAAUUGUUCUGAGCUUCUCCUCCUUAGGCAAGUGAAAUCCAAAUGUCUAGUGAUCAGUAUACUCGGCUAGAAGAACUGGAGCAAAAGAAACCAGUUGGUGUCAGGAAUAUUAAGACCCCCAAACCAAUGGGAAUGAAUAAAACUCCGACAGCAGAGAAUCACUCACUAAGAGCCCUUUACCUUACUAACGUAAGAGCAAAAAUUGAAUAAAAAAAAGCAAAAAGAAAGCCAUUCUGAAAGGGCAAGGUUAAGGUUCUUCAAGAACACAGGCUGAUCUUGACACAUAAAUACAUUCUAUCCUUGAAAAGUAGCUUGAAUUCCAGGCUGUGGGCGAAGAAUGGCUUUAUUUUUUAUUUUUAUUUUUUGGUUAGCAUGAUGUAAAGGGGUCAGCAGACAACUUCCUGUAGACUAAAUCCAGCCUGCUGCCUACUUUUGUACAACUCAUGAGCUAAGUAAGAAUGAGUUUUACAUUUUUGAAUGGUUAAAAAAAAAAUUGUGACAUGUGAAAAUUACAUGAAAUUCAAAUUUCAGUCUCCAUAAAUGAAAUUUUACUGGAACAUAGCCACGCUCAUUUGUUGUCUAUGGCUUCCUUCAUGGUACAACAGAAGAGUUGAAUAUUUGUGACAGAGACUAUCUGGCCCAGAAAGCCUAAAACAUUUACUAUGUGGCCCUUUAUGGAAAAAGUCUGCCAACUCCUGUUCUAAGGAAAGCUGUAUGCUGGUUAAAAGAAAACCUACCCAAGGCAGAGUUUAACUUCCCAGGACUAGAACAUCAGAAUAGGUGACAGCAUAAGAAACUCUUAAAUAAUAAAAACAAUACUAAAAAAAAGCCUAAAGUCCUGUAACAGAGAAGGUAAGAGGAAAGGAAACAUGGCUCAAAGGAGAGUGGCUGAGGCAGCUGACAUGAAUGACAGGCAUAUGUCCUCGACCUUCCUCUCUUCCACCUCAUCUUUGGAAUGUUCCUCUUCUAAAUGUGUGAUCUUUCCCCUUGAUUCCCGCUUUCCUCCACCAGACUCCGAUUUCCCCACUCAAAACUUACACCCCAUAAGCUCUAAACUUUAAGUUUCCAGAGUUGCCAUUCUUUAUUCCUUGCCACAAUGGCUUCUCUCCACUCCCUGACAAUAUACUUGCACUAUCAUACCCUUGUACAGAAAGCCUUCGCUCCUAUGAUUUUGUACUCAGGCUUUAUCUUUCUACUAAAACUACUUGGAAAAGUAACCUCCUCACUCACAAAUCUAAUAAUCUCUUCUCAGUAGGAGCCCUACUAGAUCUUUCCAUGGUAUUCAACACCAGUGGUGCAUCGGUCCUGCUGUAUAACUCUUUCCUCCCUUUGCUUCUCUCGACUGGUGUCCUGGCUCUCUGGACAGCUUGUCUCAUCUCCUGCUGUUGCCCUCCCUUAUGUCCUGGACCCCUUUCUUUUUAUGCUCUGCACUAUCUCUUAGAAGGCUCACCCUUUAUUCAUGUUCUCCAUCCUUGUGAUCCUGCAGGGAUCCUCUAAGCCACAGACCCAAUCCCAAAUAGCUCAAGACAUGUCCUUUGGGAGGUCCUGCCAAUACCUUAAACUCAGGAUGUCUAAAACCAAACUCCUCUUCCUCUUCCCUUGUCCCCUCUUUCGGUUUCGGUACUACCAUCCAGUCUAAAAACCUCACCUCUGAUUCGUCUCUGCUUUAUUCACAUGACUCAGUGACUUCUACCGCUUAUCAAAUCCAGGGAUUUCACCUCCACAGCUGUUGUACAGCCCACUGAAUCCUCUCAACCCUCAACAUAAGCCUACUUGUUGAGGCUCCUGUCACUGCUAGGCAAGAAUCUUCUAUCUGCCUGCCUUCCAUUUUGCCCUAUAUGGAUUCUUCCUACACAGAGCUCCCUGGUCAAUUUUCCUAAAGCAUAACAUGCUGCUCAAAACUCUGUCCAUGGCCACCUAUAGUUUACCUAUUGUAAAGUCAGAACUCCGCAAUCUUGACAUUCUAGGCCUUCUAAAAUCUGACUCACUUCCUUGGGGCCAUAUAAAACAACCAUUACCCACUUGACAGCCCCUCAAAUAUGUGAAGACAGUACUUCUAGUUCCUCUUGUCCUCAUGUCUUAGUUUCCCCAGGCUAAACAUUGCUGGGUCCUCACAAGACGCGGGUUUUGAUUUCUUAGCCUUCUACUCAUUUUCCUCUUUCUGCCCAGGUAAUAUGAAGGGUAUCGUCAACAGGAAAUAUUUUUCAAGUUGAUUUAAUUAAAAUUCUGGCGGGAAGCUAGGGCACGUGCAAUGGGGAUGUCCCUUCUCACGUGCUGUUGUUGAGAACCAUCUUCGGAGGUGAAAUCUGCUGCCUUUGUGGGACUGCCUGGGGAGGGGUGUGGAGAGCCUGCAUACUAGUCCUCCCUCCCUGUGACCAGGCAGACUUGGACUUUUAAUCCAGGCAGGACGCUGCAGCACUCCAGACAGCUCCAUUAGUGCAGGAGGAAUCCCUGGGCUGAGGGAGAAGGGAAGCCCUCAAGGGACUGUGUGGGAGAGGCGGAGCCCAUCCUGUGGAAGGCGGCCUGCUGCCAUGGCCUCCAUUCCAGCCCACUUCCAUUCUCUGUCUCUCAGCAGCAGCCCCAGGCACUGUGGAGACCCUAGUGGUGUUGUGACAAGCAGUCUAUUCAUUUCCUUCUCUCAUUCACUGGGCUCUCGGGGAUAAAAAGGAACAGCAAAUCCAAACCACUGCCUAGAAUCCACUUUGCAGAAUUUAGGGAAAGACUGUUCUCCUGAAGUGAUUAUUUUCCCUGUUUGGGAGACCCAAGGGAAGGAACAGGAUUUCUGCAUCCUUUACUUUCCACUGAUGCAACGUUGCAGAAACAACUAUUUCAGUCAUCACUGCGGCCAGUGGGACAGUGAAAGCACGGCUUGCACUUAAUUGAGGCUUUUUAGCUCCUGUCACAGUGUGGCAACAGGGCACCAAAGCACCAGGAUUUGAACUGUGAUGCUGGAUAUAACGCUUCAGUUGAAAAGAGGGAGAUAAGGGAGGACAGCGAGAGAGAAAACCAGGUACUGACAGACAAGCUUCCUGAU
RNA transcript from Ailuropoda melanoleuca (giant panda), 10720 nucleotides. It is a transcript of the gene named leucine rich repeat containing 4, with no coding region annotated. The record is from RefSeq and is a predicted model, not a curated record. The transcript has 6 exons. NCBI's taxonomy places the organism in Eukaryota, Metazoa, Chordata, Mammalia, Carnivora, Ursidae.